CUACUCGUCAACAUACAUUUGUCGAGACAGACAGCGUCCGCUACGUUUAUCACCCUCUGGACAACAUUUACCUUGUGUUGGUGACAACGAAAAACUCGAACAUUCUCGAGGACUUGGAAACUUUACGCCUUUUCGUACGAGUCAUUCCAGAGUAUUGCCGCUCAAAUGAGGAGAAAGAGAUUCUUGCUCACGAUUUUGAUCUGAUUUUUGCAUUCGAUGAGGUCGUCACUCUCGGAUACCGCGAGAGCGUCAAUCUUGCUCAAAUCAGAACUUUCACAGAGAUGGAUUCUCAUGAGGAAAGAGUUUUUAUGCAGAUCAAGGAAGCUCAAGAGAAAGCUGCCAAGCAGGCAAUGGCUGAAAAGGCCAAGGAACUCAAGAGAGCUCAGAAGGAGGCUUUGAGCAGAGGGCUCAAGCCAAGUUAUCAAUCAAGCACAGGAAUCUCUUCAUCAUCCACUCCAAAUGCAGCUGCAGUUUCUGAGCCAGCGGCUCCACGACCAUCGGCACCGAAGGGACCAAUUGGAGGUGGAAAGGCACUGAAGUUGGGAGGAAAAACGAAUAAUGAAGAUGAUUUCUUGGAUACAUUGAGACAACAAGGUCAAAGCAUUGCACCAGUACAGAAAGCUAGUCUUUCAGG
RNAcentral lists this small RNA (634 nucleotides) under Caenorhabditis elegans. RNAcentral's name for it is "Unclassified non-coding RNA C13B9.6". The record is from RNAcentral. Lineage: Eukaryota; Metazoa; Nematoda; Chromadorea; Rhabditida; Rhabditidae.